Molecule: RNase P RNA, 367 nt
Filed under: Lysobacterales bacterium
Lineage: Bacteria; Pseudomonadati; Pseudomonadota; Gammaproteobacteria; Lysobacterales
Description: RNase P RNA component class A
Rfam family: Bacterial RNase P class A
About the family: Ribonuclease P (RNase P) is a ubiquitous endoribonuclease, found in archaea, bacteria and eukarya as well as chloroplasts and mitochondria. Its best characterised activity is the generation of mature 5'-ends of tRNAs by cleaving the 5'-leader elements of precursor-tRNAs.
Source: RNAcentral
GGAGUUGGCCGGACAGUCGCGUCGCGCGCAAGCGUAUCGAGGAAAGUCCGGGCUCCGCAGGGCAGGGUGCCAGGUAACGCCUGGGCAGUGUGAACUGACGACCAGUGCAACAGAAAACAAACCGCCGAACGGCAUCCUCGGAUGUGCGUGGUAAGGGUGAAAUGGUGCGGCAAGAGCGCACCGCGCGCGGGGCCAACGCCGCGUGGCACGGUAAACUCCACCCGGAGCAAGAUCGAAUAGGGGAACAUUGGCGCGGCCCGCGUCGUUCCCGGGUAGAUCGCUGGAGCCUGACGGCGACGUCAGGCCGAGAGGAAUGACUGUCGCGUCGCAAGACGUACAGAACCCGGCUUACAGGCCAACUCCUUUU